This is a long non-coding RNA of Papilio polytes (common Mormon), 1257 nucleotides long. RefSeq lists it as uncharacterized. The transcript has 4 exons. The record is from RefSeq and is a predicted model, not a curated record. Lineage: Eukaryota; Metazoa; Arthropoda; Insecta; Lepidoptera; Papilionidae.
UUAAUGAAACUGUUUUGAAGAUUUUAUUAUAAGUCUUCGCCACAUUCCUUAGGGGUAAUUAGUGUGUAUCGUACUAGUUGAAUUGGUGGUUUCUUAUUCAUCUACCUUACAUAAACCUUUUACUGUUAAGAAUUUGAAAAUAGUUACCUAAAAUAAGGACGUUCCAGAUUGGCUAAAGGAGAAUGAUUUCAGAACAAAAGUCAGCUCGCUAUACGUCGCCACUGAGGGACUCGGACCCUACCCUUGACCUACCCGGUGACUAAGCCAUAGUCAACCACGCUGGCCCGCUGAGGUUUAGUUUAAUUCACACAUAUCUUUGAAUUUCAUCGCUGACGUGUGCAGUAUGCAUCCCGAUGUUUUUCUUCAACGUAUUCUUCUACGUAUACUUCGGGUAAAUUAUGUAUAUAUAAACACAUUGGUAAAUCACGAAAUUCGAACCUCAGAGCUGUAGAUUUCAAGUCAAGUGUUCAAACCCCUAAGCCACCGACGAUCUUAUUUCAACGUUCGACUUUGUGAUGCAUACUUGAAUAUUAUUUUUAUGAAACUAUUCAUUCAAUAAGUUUAACCUUUAUUUAGAAAACAAUUUCAAAUAGUCUCAUCCGUAAAAGUAUGGAACAAAUAUUGAAAAUGAAUUAAAUUUCAAAAUGACACCUUGAUAAAGUUAAUAGGUUUAAUUCAGUUGGACGUCGGAUGCAUUUCGUGGGACAAAGAGGUCCGGGAACAAUGCGGUAUCGGAUGUCACCCCGGGUUUACUCGAUCUCCACUUGCCUUUGGUUUGCGUUGAAGCGGACGACAGUUGGAUGGAAUUGAUACUGAAGGACCUCUGACUUCACAAACACUUUUACUAUCCUCUACAUCUGUGCCAAAUUUCAUCGAGAGUGAAACAUCAUCCAUAAACGGAAUAAAUAGUAUCCUAUGUCCGUCUCCUGGCACUAAGCUACCUCCUCACCAAUUUUCAGCCAUAUCGGUAGAGCCGUUCUUAAGUUAUAAAUAGUUUAACUAACACGACUGUCUUUUAUACAUAUAGAUUUUGAUUUACUAAAAAGGCGAUUAAGCUAAGUAAUAAAUGUUGAAAACAGGUACUACAAUUAUAUAAUGUAUUUAUUUUAUAAGCUACGAAAAUAUCACCAGCUGUUUACAAUGCUUUUGACAGGUAAUUAAAAUUUUAUUCCAAUCUCAACGCUUUUUAACGACUAUUAAAAAACUUAGCUGUAAGAAAAUUAUUGUGGGAAGUUAAUCGUAAGUAAGUAAAUUCAU